AUAUUGAGAUCAGCUUACGGGGAAGUAGGGUGUGAUUCCCUCACUGUGCCGCAACGGUUGAUAAAGUCCGAAUACCGUAAGAC
RNAcentral lists this non-coding RNA (83 nucleotides) under Candidatus Zhuqueibacterota. The record is from RNAcentral. Lineage: Bacteria; Pseudomonadati.